AAGUAGUAAAUUAUAUUUAAACUUAUUUAUUUUGACGGUAUUUCAUCUUAUUAAAGGAACCUGUUAUAUAAUUGAUAACACACAUUAAAUUUCACUUUAACAUAAAAUUUAUAUACCGCCGUCUAAAGAAUUAAUUUAUAAAUAUUAUUCACAAUACAAAAUAAAAAGUUAGGUCAAGGUGUAAUCUAUAUUAAAGAAUUAAAUGGGUUACAUUAAAAACUAUUUAAGGAUUUUAAAACAACUAAAAAAUGAAAGAGGAUUUAAUAUAAAUAUAUAUUAAUAAUAAUUAUAUAUGAAAAAGAAAACAAAUAUGC
Molecule: ribosomal RNA, 314 nt
Filed under: Pimus iviei
Lineage: Eukaryota; Metazoa; Arthropoda; Arachnida; Araneae; Amaurobiidae
Description: partial 12S ribosomal RNA
Source: RNAcentral